AGGUUUAUUAUGGAGAUCUAUUACAGG
RNAcentral lists this non-coding RNA (27 nucleotides) under Rattus norvegicus (Norway rat). Lineage: Eukaryota; Metazoa; Chordata; Mammalia; Rodentia; Muridae. The record is from RNAcentral.